ACGGGCGGAGUGUACAAGGCCCGGGAACGUAUUCACCGUGGCAUUCUGAUCCACGAUUACUAGCGAUUCCGACUUCAUGGAGUCGAGUUGCAGACUCCAAUCCGGACUACGACGCACUUUAUGAGGUCCGCUUGCUCUCGCGAGGUCGCUUCUCUUUGUAUGCGCCAUUGUAGCACGUGUGUAACCCUGGUCCGUAAGGGGCAUGAUGACUUGACGUCAUCCCCAACUUCCUCCAAUUUAUCACUGGGAAGUCUCCUUUUGAGUUUCCGGGCCGGGA
This 277-nucleotide ribosomal RNA is filed under the name uncultured bacterium. RNAcentral describes it as "partial 16S ribosomal RNA". The record is from RNAcentral.